Long non-coding RNA from Etheostoma spectabile (orangethroat darter), 187 nucleotides. RefSeq lists it as uncharacterized. The record is from RefSeq and is a predicted model, not a curated record. Lineage: Eukaryota; Metazoa; Chordata; Actinopteri; Perciformes; Percidae. The transcript is spliced from 3 exons.
UCUCUUCUCAUUGGUGUUGAUUUCUGUUGACAGUUGAGUUCCGUUGAUCUGAUUGGUUGUAGGUCUAUCCAAUGAGUGCAGAGGAAUUUUCUUUCCUAGUUCGGUUGGAACACACCCUAUAAUGCCAGCUCAAUGGAGCAGCAUCAGACUCCUAUUCUGACUAGGAUCUGACUAUGGCUAUUGUUCA